RNAcentral lists this ribosomal RNA (283 nucleotides) under uncultured Acidobacteriota bacterium. RNAcentral's name for it is "uncultured Acidobacteria bacterium partial 16S ribosomal RNA". It matches the Rfam family "Bacterial small subunit ribosomal RNA", at positions 1176 to 1458 of the family's 1533-position model. The record is from RNAcentral. Lineage: Bacteria; Pseudomonadati; Acidobacteriota.
GGGAUGACGUCAAGUCCUCAUGGCCUUUAUGUCCAGGGCUACACACGUACUACAAUGGGCGGCACAAUGAGUCGCAAACCCGCGAGGGGGAGCCAAUCUCAAAAAACCGCUCUCAGUUCGGAUUGCAGUCUGCAACUCGACUGCAUGAAGCCGGAAUCGCUAGUAAUCGCUGAUCAGCAAGCAGCGGUGAAUACGUUCCCGGGCCUUGUACACACCGCCCGUCACAUCACGAAAGCCAGUUGUACUAGAAGCCGGCAAUUCAACCGUAAGGAGAUAGCCGUCC